This 252-nucleotide ribosomal RNA is filed under the name uncultured bacterium. Its description in RNAcentral is "partial 16S ribosomal RNA". It matches the Rfam family "Bacterial small subunit ribosomal RNA", at positions 524 to 776 of the family's 1533-position model. The record is from RNAcentral.
UACGGAGGAUGCGAGCGUUAUCCGGAUUUAUUGGGUUUAAAGGGUGCGUAGGCGGGUUGUUAAGUCAGCGGUAAAAUUGCGGUGCUCAACGCCGUAGAGUCGUUGAAACUGGCGGCCUUGAGUGGGCGAGAAGUAUGCGGAAUGCGUGGUGUAGCGGUGAAAUGCAUAGAUAUCACGCAGAACCCCGAUUGCGAAGGCAGCAUACCGGCGCCCUACUGACGCUGAGGCACGAAAGUGCGGGUAUCGAACAGG